UAUGUUUACUGCAGCAUUUACUGUCCCUGGUGGUAAUUUUGAAGAAACAGGCUAUCCAAUAUUUUCACACGAAAAAUCGUUUAUGAUUUUUAUAAUAUCCGAUGCGAUUUCACUUUUCGCUUCCUCAACAUCAGUAUUGAUGUUCUUAGGAAUCCUUACGUCUCGGUAUGCAGAGGAUGACUUCCUCAAGUCCUUGCCCACAAAGUUAA
RNAcentral lists this unclassified non-coding RNA (209 nucleotides) under Hevea brasiliensis (rubber tree). The record is from RNAcentral. Lineage: Eukaryota; Viridiplantae; Streptophyta; Magnoliopsida; Malpighiales; Euphorbiaceae.